This 607-nucleotide long non-coding RNA is filed under the name Parus major (Great Tit). RNAcentral's name for it is "lncRNA (ENSPMJG00000011893.1)". The record is from RNAcentral. Lineage: Eukaryota; Metazoa; Chordata; Aves; Passeriformes; Paridae.
AUUCAAAGAGUUGUUGAAUUCUUUGUCAUGAGCUCCUAUUGUAGUUAAUUUACUUCUCAUCCAUCUUGCCGGGGAAGAGGUAGGUAAGGUCUUUAUUGAGGAAACAUGCACAGUGGGAGGGAAAUUUAUAACUCCUUCCACUCUUCCAAGCAGAGCCACAUCCCUGGGUAAUGAGCACAGGAAGCAAACCCGGUGGCUGUCGUGGUUGUGCUCAGUAGUAACAGCAGAGAAUUCUCUUGCAGGUGCUGUGUUUGCUCCAUUUCUGCCCAGGAGCUCUUCAUGAAUUGCUUCGUGAUUGCUGUCACCGGGGUACUCAGGCUCUCAGGAGAGGGUCAACUCCAAAGUUCUGCAGGGCACUGUACGUGGCACGUGACAGAGCAAGCCAAAAACAAAUGUCCAACGUGCAAGUUGUGAUACUUCAAGUCAAAACAUGCCCCUGUGCUGGAUUUCUAGAUCUUGGAAAGCAAGAAUAAGGCCAUCCAUACCAAACCCAUCAAACAGUGGAGCUGGCAGCUGCUGGAGGUGAAGAAAAAGUUUCUCAGGACCGGGUAUGUGUUAAUUUUCUGGGCUGUGGGCUGAUCUGGGAAGAAACCAUCCUUGGUUUUGU